RNAcentral lists this ribosomal RNA (468 nucleotides) under uncultured bacterium. RNAcentral's name for it is "partial 16S ribosomal RNA". It matches the Rfam family "Bacterial small subunit ribosomal RNA", at positions 28 to 507 of the family's 1533-position model. The record is from RNAcentral.
GACGAACGCUGGCGGCGUGCUUAACACAUGCAAGUCGAACGGAAAGGCCCUGCUUUUGUGGGGUGCUCGAUUGGCGAACGGGUGAGUAACACGUGAGUAACCUGCCCUUGACUUUGGGAUAACUCCAGGAAACUGGGGCUAAUACCGGAUAGGAGCUCCUGCUGCAUGGGGGGGGUUGGAAAGUUUCGGCCGUUGGGGAUGUACUCGCUGCUUAUCAGCUUGUUGGUGGGGUAGUGGCUUACCAAGGGUUUGACGGGUAGCCGGCCUGGGAGGGUGACCGGCCACAUGGGGACUGAGGGACGGAGCAGACGCCUACGGGAGGCAGCAGGGGAGAGUAUUACGCAAUAGGCGGAAGCCUGAGGCAGAAACGCCGGGUGCGGGAUGACGGGCUUCGGGUGGAAAACAGAUUUCGCAUGUGACGAAGAGGGAGUGACGGUAAUGGGUAAAAAAGCACCGGCUAACUACGUG